UUCAUGGUUAAUCUUAAGGAAGCUCUACGAUACGUUUUCCAAGAGUCGAGUUGUUUGGGAUUGCAGCUCAAAAUGGGAGGUAAAUUUCUCCUAAGGCUAAAUAUUGGCGAGAGACCGAUAGCGAACAAGUACCGUGAGGGAAAGAUGAAAAGAACUUUGAAAAGAGAGUUAAACAGUACGUGAAAUUGUUGAAAGGGAAACGAUUGAAGUCAGUCAUACCAACGGGAAAUCAACCUUUUGAGCUUGGUCUCGUGGGUUUUGAAGAGUUUCAAAGCCUUCGGAUUCGCUAGAUUGGGAUCUCUCGGUGUACUUUUUCGUACGGUUAGUCAACAUCGGUUUUGAAUGUCAUAAAAUGACUGGAGGAAUGUAGCUUCGAUCUCGUAUUGAAGUGUUAUAGCCUUUGGUAGAUGUGAUGUUUGAGACCGAGGAUUGCAACGGAUACCCUUCAGGGCUAUUCGUCUGAUCUCUGAUACGUUGCCUUGAUGUUGAAAGCUUGCUUAUGAUGUUAGGGUAUUACGGUCAAAAGGUUAGAACGGAUUAGAUU
This 544-nucleotide ribosomal RNA is filed under the name uncultured Glomus. RNAcentral describes it as "LSU rRNA". It matches the Rfam family "Eukaryotic large subunit ribosomal RNA", at positions 220 to 634 of the family's 3401-position model. Lineage: Eukaryota; Fungi; Glomeromycota; Glomeromycetes; Glomerales; Glomeraceae. The record is from RNAcentral.